Brienomyrus brachyistius is the source of this 1981-nucleotide long non-coding RNA. RefSeq lists it as uncharacterized. The transcript has 3 exons. NCBI's taxonomy places the organism in Eukaryota, Metazoa, Chordata, Actinopteri, Osteoglossiformes, Mormyridae. The record is from RefSeq and is a predicted model, not a curated record.
UGGACGCAAGAAGCAGCACCGGUCAAACCACUACUGACCAUCUUGUGAGGAGGUGCCAACUUAGCAGACUGUCAAGACCCACCCCCCAUCCCCACAUCCCCCAUGAAAAGAGCUUGAAGACCAUCUGAGACAAGCCCGCUUUCCUGAGCGCCCUGGGUCCCGGGUCUCGGCUGCCUGCCUGCCGGUCAGUGGGAACCGCUGAUCCCCCCUCUCAGCUCCCACAAGCGACGCCAGAAGUAGCCUGCGCCGGACAGACUGGGACCUCGCCAUCGGCACAUAGUGGAUGCUAACUGGAUCUAACGGGUCUUUUGCUUGCUGAAAUCAAGUCCAGGGGUCCAGGUUCCCCGCGAGACUGUACAGGAAGAUGGAUGAACGGAUGGAUGGAUGUAUUAAGAAACAUCCCAACAAAUUGCCUUCUAACUGCCUGUUAAAUUUUCUUCUCUUCGGCACUCCUUCAGUGUUCGACUUCAGCAAAAAACGUAUCUUGAAAUACCAUUUUUUAACGAAGGCGCGUUUUUAUCCAGGAUUCUCUUAAGAUUUAUAAUGAGGACUAUUAAUAUAAACGAAAAGUUUAAAACCGGUUAUAAAAGAGAAACAUUAUUUCUUGACGGAGUCAAUAUUAUUGGUACAUGGUCCUUCUGGGAAACAAUGUUUUCCUACAGGAGUACCGAUUUGGACUCCAAAUCACUGACCGUUUUGAGUGGUUAGUCACGUGGCAAUUAAAACACAAUUCUUAAAAUUCCAUGAGGAUCAGUGCCGUGCUUAAGGGUUUUGGCUUGGCUCCCUUUCAGCUGCGAUGCCAUCUGUACACCACUAGGGGGAAGUAUUUAGGAGCUACAUAACGAUGGUAUAUAAACACCUUUUGUAUCCUCUCGCCGCGUGCCCAUUACUACCGGGAUAGGCUCCGGACCCCCCACGACCCAGUAGGAUAAGCGGUUUAGAUAAUGGAUGGAUGGAUGUAUCCUCUCAGGUGAGACUGAAAACUAAUGUAGGUCGCGAAUUCAAAUAGAGUUUGACCGAGGAAGUACGGAAAUACUGGCAUUUACAUGAUUCCAAGUUAUGGGAUUAUAAAGAUUCUCAGGUGACUGCAAACUAAAUUAAAAUACUGUAUUACCGGUGAGAUCUGCACAUCCCGGCAAACUUGCGGGCGUGUAUAUAUUGUCGAUGCUCUUAUUGUAAAUACUCUUGUUGUACUUCCCGAUUGUAGCGUGUAUGUUGGCCCGUGUCCUAUGUGCACCCUGCCCAAUCCUCGCGUGUCUUUAGCAUCGUGUAAAUUACCCAGUGUGUGUGUACCUGAUGGUCCACCAUCUGACCUCCCAGUGUUUCCAUGCUAUGUAGAGUUUGGUGUGCUGUGGCGGUCUGUGUUAGGGCCUGUUCAGAAAUUAAUAAGGGAGUCCCCCCCCCCUUUUUAAAAACAAAACAAAAACAAAAACAAAUCGCUUUGGCGUUUUCAGUAGCCCCUGCAUUGUCUUUAUGUGCUGGGCAUAACAACGGCAUUAUAAAGUGAGAAGCUCGAACCAGCCUUACUAGCAGAAUUGAAGAAAGCAUUCUUGGAUGUACUUCUGGCAUUCCGGGCCAGCCUGGAAGACCUGCAGGCAGCAGUGGUACAGUACAUCUCACGUGAAGACAGCGAGGGAUGUGAAGAUUGUCUGCUGGUGCUGCGGGAGGAACGUGCACAGGACGCAUUAUUGCCCAGAAACCUGCAUCAGAGCUUCCAGCAAACAGGCAGAGAACCACGGAGCCAAGAAGGUGCCGCUCCAUUCUGUGGGGGAGCCUUGGAUCCGUGCAGCGCAUCCUGGAGCCGCCCCUGCCUGCCCACCAGACCCCCGUCCUGCCCCAUUGCACCCUGAAGCUCUUCCCAUCGGCCCACUGGACGCAUGUCGGAGACAGUGAUGUCAUCAAGUGAGGAAGGUCAGCUCUUGGGCAGCCUCUGGCUGGCAUUCUGAGGCCAGGAGGCAGUGCCGCUCGGCCAGGAGGAGCC